UACGUAGGCAGCAAGCGUUGUUCGGAGUUACUGGGCGUAAAGGGUGCGUAGGCGGCCGUGUAAGUGUGGUGUGAAAUCUCCCGGCUUAACUGGGAGGGUGCGCUACAGACUGCAUGGCUAGAGUGUGGGAGAGGAGAGUGGAAUUCCUGGUGUAGCGGUGAAAUGCGUAGAUAUCAGGAGGAACACCGGUGGUGUAAACGGCUUUCUGGACCAUAACUGACGCUGAUGCACGAAAGCGUGGGUAGCAAACAGG
RNAcentral lists this ribosomal RNA (253 nucleotides) under uncultured bacterium. RNAcentral describes it as "partial 16S ribosomal RNA". It matches the Rfam family "Bacterial small subunit ribosomal RNA", at positions 524 to 776 of the family's 1533-position model. The record is from RNAcentral.